CCUACGGGAGGCAGCAGUGGGGAAUAUUGCACAAUGGGGGAAACCCUGAUGCAGCGACGCCGCGUGAGUGAAGAAGUAUUUCGGUAUGUAAAGCUCUAUCAGCAGGAACGAGACAAGACGGUACCUGACUAAGAAGCCCCGGCUAACUACGUGCCAGCAGCCGCGGCAAUCCGUAGGGGGCAAGCGUUAUCCGGAAUCACUGGGUGUAAAGGGAGCGUAGACGGCUGUGCAAGUCUGAAGGGAAAGGGGGGCGCCCAACCCCUGGACUGCUUUGGAAACUGUACGGCUGGAGUGCAGGAGAGGUAAGUGGAAUUCCUAGUGUAGCGGUGAAAUGCGUAGAUAUUAGGAGGAACACCAGUGGCGAAGGCGGCUUACGGGACUGUAACUGACGUUGAGGCUCGAAAGCGUGGGGAGCAAACAGGAUUAGAUACCCUGGUAGUC
Molecule: ribosomal RNA, 441 nt
Filed under: uncultured bacterium
Lineage: Bacteria
Description: partial 16S ribosomal RNA
Rfam family: Bacterial small subunit ribosomal RNA
Source: RNAcentral